RNAcentral lists this unclassified non-coding RNA (289 nucleotides) under Hevea brasiliensis (rubber tree). The record is from RNAcentral. Lineage: Eukaryota; Viridiplantae; Streptophyta; Magnoliopsida; Malpighiales; Euphorbiaceae.
GAAAACGUUUGUUCUCUAAUAUUUUGAGGCUUCCGGCAGAUAGAGAUCAAUGGAACUGCAUCCAAUGGGCCUAUCAGAUCAUUUGUCAGGGAAAGUUGCUUAUGGAGGCAAGGUGCUUGUUUAAAUGUCCAGCCACAAACAUGCGGAGAAAACUAUCGCUUUUGUUAAACAGAGAUAUCAUUGUUACCAAUUUGAAGAUAAUAGCGCAGCCCUGGGACGACCAGAACAAGAAAGAGGAUGAUGGAAUCAUCUUUCAAGGCCUCUGCGGCUCUGCCAUGGUUGUUUCUUU